RNAcentral lists this long non-coding RNA (350 nucleotides) under Lathyrus oleraceus (garden pea). Its description in RNAcentral is "Pisum sativum (pea) long non-coding RNA (PSAT_LNC005455)". Lineage: Eukaryota; Viridiplantae; Streptophyta; Magnoliopsida; Fabales; Fabaceae. The record is from RNAcentral.
GGGUGUGUUCUUUCCUCUCUCUUCUCUCUCUUAUUUUACGUUUGUUUCUUUCAUUGAGGAUAAUGCAUAUUUUAAGUGUGGGGGAGGGAAUACUUUAUUUUCUUUGUUUUUGUUUUUUGUUUUGUUUUGUUUUUGUUUUCUUUCUAUAAAAAAUUGCAUCUUCUUGAAAGUUUUAGGCUAUAGAUUACUUUGAGUCGAGUUUGCGGAGACUUGGGAAAAAUUCACAAGAUCGGUAUUGUUUUAACACUGUAAGUCUCCUUCAUAUGGAAAUUGAGUUGAAUUUUUAUUAUGUUUUAGCCUUAAAUUCUCAUUCUCUGACAGCUCUUGAGUAGUUUAUUUCAGCAGUCAGC